RNAcentral lists this long non-coding RNA (726 nucleotides) under Junco hyemalis (dark-eyed junco). Its description in RNAcentral is "lncRNA (ENSJHYG00000009824.1)". The record is from RNAcentral. Lineage: Eukaryota; Metazoa; Chordata; Aves; Passeriformes; Passerellidae.
GACAUACUUGUGUGCUGCCAAACUAAAUAAAAAGAAACAAGAAAGCAGCCUUGUCUUCUAGUCCUCCAGGAGAGACAGAGGAGUUUCCCACAACUUGUUUAGAGUUUCUUCUGGUCUUCAUUUCCCAUAUUGCUUGUGUUCCUUUCUUUUUAUGGGUUCCUACUUCACAAUCACAAUAUCUUUAAAAUACAGCUGAUGAUUUUAAAAUCCUCACUAUCGAAAAAAAAUCCAAACUAAAUAAUUUUACUUUUUUCUUUAAACUCAACAGCCAUAAUAUAUUUCUCAUCUCUUCUUUUUUUUUUUUCAGAUUAUCCCUUAUGCUUUUUCUUUAUAUUUUCUCAAGCCUAUUUAUUGUUCACUGCUUUCAAGAUCUAACUGUGUUCAUAUUAGCAUUGAACAGAUACUAUGGUGACCUUUCUCGGUCCACAGAAGCUGAUGAGAAAGACCCAGAGAGGACAGGUGAAAUUUGCUUUCCUGAUAAUCUUCUAUCAUGAUGCCAGAGAUCACCAAAGAGUUAUCUUACUACUGGAAAAAUAUUCCGUCGUUUGAGUACUGGUAAAACAAACUGACAGAAUAUAGAAACAGCAGAAUGAAGCAACUCAGCCUACUGUGUUUUUGAGUGAAAGAUACUAUUCUGGCCUUGAAUUUUAUUAUUAAAAGUACCCCAUGUGUAUGAGUUUGCCACUUUUGAAUAAAUCCCACAGAAUGGUGAUAAUAAUAGAUGCA